CCUCUCUCUCCAGGGGCUGCCCCGGGUACAUAAUGAAAGGAAGACUACUUGCCACUGGCUUAUAUUAAAUACAUAUCGUGUCGCUGACAAGAAGCAAAGCAUGAUUGUACUAGACGUGUUUCUAGGUUCCCGCCUGGUCCCCAGCCUUCUCUGCUCCUGCUGCCUGUGGGGGACCCCUCCCCACCCAGCCACCCGCCAACAGCAAUCACCGGCUGAACCAGAGAGGGUGAAUUUGAAGGAGGGAAUCUGUGUCUCAUUAACCUUUGCACCACCACAUCACCCCAUAUUUCUGCACCAAGGUCCUGCCUGGCGUGCCGUCAGUCACGGGGACGCUGUACUGGUUUGGGAGUGAGGGCAGGGACUCCAGAGCUGCUCGGCAAUCCUGGCCCAUGGAUCUUCCUCACAGCCAGGGACAGUGGUACGGUGGCCCUUGUGGUCCCACCUCCUGCAAUCCAUCCCUCCUGCCCCCCCUGAAGAGGUCCUGUCACCUGAGCUUGCACUUACCUG
Long non-coding RNA from Leptonychotes weddellii (Weddell seal), 507 nucleotides. RefSeq lists it as uncharacterized. The record is from RefSeq and is a predicted model, not a curated record. NCBI's taxonomy places the organism in Eukaryota, Metazoa, Chordata, Mammalia, Carnivora, Phocidae.